RNAcentral lists this non-coding RNA (192 nucleotides) under human gut metagenome. The record is from RNAcentral.
CUGGUGCGUAAGCUUAAUAGACAAGCCCGGUGAAAAUCCGGGAACGGUCGCGCCGCUGUGAAGAGGAGUCUGUCUGCAGACAUGAAAAACAUGUCAGCCACUGAAGCUGCGUCUGGAGCAAUCCGGACAAAAGCCUUUGGGAAGGAGCAGAACAGAUGAUGAAUCCAAGUCAGAAGAACUGCCAGUAAAGAA